UGGCUUCAGAAGGUGAUGAUCAGUAACAUGCAGCUUUUUUUAGCCUUUUAAAAAAGUUUUCCAGUGUCAUAGCAAAGUCUGUAGUUUUUGUCAGACUGAAUUUGUGUAGCAGAUAGGAAGUAGCAGCUGGAAAUGAGAGGCUCACAUCACUGUCCAGGGGAGGCCGGGUGCCAUCCUAAAGGAGAUGAGGUGGAAAGAGAUUGAGUUGGGAAUACUGCAUCCCUGCUAAUUUAGAAGGAGUCAAGAAAUACCUGCAGAGGACAUUCAAAGUCAUUGACUUCUACAUGGAAUUCAAAUUCAGGAAAAACAAGUUUCUUGCUAUGUAUAAAACACAAGGCUUCUCCAUAAUACAAAACACACCCAAAAACAGAGAUAGAAAGUUGCCUGUAAAACACAUGAUGUUUGCAAAGCAGACAUCAGUGUUUAGCUUAUCUGAGAAGAUGCUGCUGGAAUUGCAAGAGCUGCCAAAAACUGUAAAGCCAGAGAGGGAGCAAAGACAGCUGUUAAUAUCCAAGCUGGACAUGAAGCAACAGAAGAGUAACUGCUCCAAACAGAGCCUAGUGUGGAACACAGAGCCCAGGAAGCAGAAGAUAAGCAAAUGGAAAAAUGACUUAACAUGAGACAGAUGUCUUAAGGCAAAAAAAAAAAAAAAAAAAAAAAAAAAAAAAAAAAAAAAAAAAAAAAAAAAAAAAAAGGCA
Molecule: long non-coding RNA, 698 nt
Organism: Passer domesticus (house sparrow)
Lineage: Eukaryota; Metazoa; Chordata; Aves; Passeriformes; Passeridae
Exons: 4
Source: RefSeq, a predicted model, not a curated record